UACAGAGGUCUCAAGCGUUGUUCGGAUUCAUUGGGCGUAAAGGGUGCGUAGGUGGCGGGGCAAGUCUGGUGUGAAAUCUCGGAGCUCAACUCCGAAACUGCACUGGAUACUGCCUUGCUCGAGUACUGGAGAGGAGAUUGGAAUUUACGGUGUAGCAGUGAAAUGCGUAGAUAUCGUAAGGAAGACCAGUGGCGAAGGCGAAUCUCUGGACAGUUACUGACACUGAGGCACGAAGGCCAGGGGAGCAAACCGGG
Molecule: ribosomal RNA, 254 nt
Filed under: uncultured bacterium
Lineage: Bacteria
Description: partial 16S ribosomal RNA
Rfam family: Bacterial small subunit ribosomal RNA
Source: RNAcentral